AACAUCGCGCACCUGCGGGAACCUGCGGAAGGAUCAUUACCGAGUUUACAACUCCCAAACCCAUGUGAACAUACCUAUCGUUGCUUCGGCGGGAUCGCCCCGGGCGCCUCGUGUGCCCCGGAUCCGGCGCCCGCCUAGGAACCUUAACUCUUGUUUUAUUUUGGAAUCUUCUGAGUAGUUUUUACAAAUAAAUAAAAACUUUCAGCAACGGAUCU
Molecule: unclassified non-coding RNA, 215 nt
Filed under: soil metagenome
Description: partial contains 5.8S ribosomal RNA, internal transcribed spacer 2, and large subunit ribosomal RNA
Source: RNAcentral